UAUGUGUUAUAGUAUGGAUCAUGCCUUGGCUGUUCAUAGUAUCCUCCAAAUGUAUGUCUAGGCUGGUCAUACUCAUAACGUGUAGAACAUUGAUUAGUUGGAUAUCCUACGUAUGCAUAAUUCCCACAUGGUGUUGGUAGCUGGGAUGCUUGAACCUGUUGCACUAUGUCUAUGGCAAGGUCUUUCAUAAAAGAUGUCAGAAAAUAAAAAUCAGAUCUACUUACCUCAUCCAUGAUUCAGAUGUGCAAUUGAGAUGUUUCAGAAGAUGGUUCUGCACAGAGU
Molecule: long non-coding RNA, 282 nt
Filed under: Manihot esculenta (cassava)
Lineage: Eukaryota; Viridiplantae; Streptophyta; Magnoliopsida; Malpighiales; Euphorbiaceae
Description: long non-coding RNA (MESC_LNC000957)
Source: RNAcentral